UAAACACCUAAAUAUCCAAAUCCAAAAAAUUCAUUUCAUGAUUAAUGUGUACACCAAUUUUUUUUUCUAACAAUAUUAUUUGUAAAUGGUGGGUUCUUACAUUAUAUAAAUCAUAUUCUUAGCCUAUCAAGAAAACAUCUUGUCCUUGGAAAUUUGCUACACAGAAACCAUGAAUUCAAACAAAAAAUUUAUCGUGGUUUUUGUCCUCAUCGUUGUCUCAUGUGGUUCUAUUUCAGAGGCGGUGUCGUCGUGCAAAGGCCAUGAAGAUUGUCAAUACAUGGAAUGUCCGACCCCGACCCUCAAGAUGUGUCUCUUUGGUACGUGUGUCUGCCAACCGCUUCCCGAAAAAGACCCUUUUACCCUCCACGGAACCCGGCUGUCUCGAUGCGUCCUCUCCUGCAAGAGUAUGGGCAAAUCCGUCAUUUCCGUCGCCGGUGAUAAGUGCCAGUGCGGUUGAUUCACCAUAAUUAUUUAUGUUUGAAGCUUUCAAUAAAACUCGUUGAAUGUGAUUAAUUUGCGACAAGUAAAUGAAUUAAGUUAAUUAUCUUU
Molecule: long non-coding RNA, 549 nt
Organism: Tarenaya hassleriana
Lineage: Eukaryota; Viridiplantae; Streptophyta; Magnoliopsida; Brassicales; Cleomaceae
Exons: 2
Source: RefSeq, a predicted model, not a curated record